UACGUAGGACCCAAGCGUUAUCCGGAUUGACUGGGCGUAAAGAGUUGCGUAGGUGGUUUUAUAAGCGAAUAGUGAAAUCUUGUGGCUCAACCAUAAGGCUAUUAUUCGAACUGUAAGACUCGAGAAUGGGAGAGGUAUCUGGAAUUCUUAGUGUAGGGGUAAAAUCCGUAGAUACUAGGAGGAACACCAAUGGCGUAGGCAGGAUACUGGCCCAUUUCUGACACUGAGGCACGAAAGCGUGGGGAGCGAACAGG
RNAcentral lists this ribosomal RNA (254 nucleotides) under uncultured bacterium. RNAcentral describes it as "partial 16S ribosomal RNA". It matches the Rfam family "Bacterial small subunit ribosomal RNA", at positions 524 to 776 of the family's 1533-position model. The record is from RNAcentral.